RNAcentral lists this microRNA precursor (203 nucleotides) under Oryza nivara. Its description in RNAcentral is "MIR812 microRNA precursor family". It matches the Rfam family "MIR812 microRNA precursor family". Lineage: Eukaryota; Viridiplantae; Streptophyta; Magnoliopsida; Poales; Poaceae. The record is from Rfam by way of RNAcentral.
AAUAACUCAAUUCUUGAGUUUCCGUGUCUAACGUUUGACCGUCCGUCUUAUUUAAAAAAAUAAAAAAAUUAAAAAGAUAAAUCACACAUAAAGUAUUAUUCAUGUUUUAUCAUCUAACAACAAUGAAAAUACUAAUCAUGAAAAAAAUUCAUAUAAGACGGACAGUCAAACGUAGGACACGAAAACCCAGGAAUUGAGUCUUU